Molecule: ribosomal RNA, 781 nt
Filed under: uncultured marine Prymnesiales
Lineage: Eukaryota; Haptophyta; Prymnesiales
Description: SSU rRNA
Rfam family: Eukaryotic small subunit ribosomal RNA
Source: RNAcentral
CAUGUCUAAGUAUAAGCGACUAUACUGUGAAACUGCGAAUGGCUCAUUAAAUCAGUUAUGGUUUAUUUGAUGGUACCUACUACUUGGAUAACCGUAGUAAUUCUAGAGCUAAUACAUGCAGGAAGACCCGACUUCGGAAGGGUUGUAUUCAUUAGAUAAGAAACCAAUCCAGCUUGCUGGUUGAGUGCCGAGUCACAAUAACUGCUCGAAUCGCAUGACUUUACGUCGGCGAUGGUUCAUUCAAAUUUCUGCCCUAUCAGCUUUCGAUGGUAGGAUCGAGGCCUACCAUGGCGUUUACGGGUAACGGAGAAUUAGGGUUCGAUUCCGGAGAGGGAGCCUGAGAAAUGGCUACCACAUCCAAGGAAGGCAGCAGGCGCGUAAAUUGCCCGAAUCCUGACACAGGGAGGUAGUGACAAGAAAUAACGAUACAGGGCUACAUCUAGCCUUGUAAUUGGAAUGAGUACAAUUUACACCUCUUAACGAUGAUCAAUUGGAGGGCAAGUCUGGUGCCAGCAGCCGCGGUAAUUCCAGCUCCAAUAGCGUAUAUUAAAGUUGUUGCAGUUAGAACGCUCGUAGUCGGAUUUCGGGGCAGUCCGACCGGUCUGCCGAUGGAUAUGCACUGGCCGGAGUGUCCUUUUUGCCGGAGACCGUGCCUACUCUUAACUGAGCGGGGGCGGGAGACGGCACUUUUACUUUGAAAAAAUCAGAGUGUUUCAAGCAGGCAGCUCGCUCUUGCAUGGAUUAGCAUGGGAUAAUGAAAUAGGACUUUGGUGCUAUUUUG